RNAcentral lists this transfer RNA (73 nucleotides) under Euzebya pacifica. It matches the Rfam family "tRNA". Rfam says of the family: Transfer RNA (tRNA) molecules are approximately 80 nucleotides in length. Their secondary structure includes four short double-helical elements and three loops (D, anti-codon, and T loops). Lineage: Bacteria; Bacillati; Actinomycetota; Nitriliruptoria; Euzebyales; Euzebyaceae. The record is from Rfam by way of RNAcentral.
GCUCGUGUAGCUCAGUUGGUAGAGCGCCGCCAUGGUAAGGCGGAGGCCGACGGUUCGAUCCCGUCCGCGAGCU